Molecule: non-coding RNA, 1457 nt
Organism: Arachis ipaensis
Lineage: Eukaryota; Viridiplantae; Streptophyta; Magnoliopsida; Fabales; Fabaceae
Source: RefSeq, a predicted model, not a curated record
UCCAUUCACACUCCACACAAGUUUAGUAGGAGCUUCUUCCUCUCUCCAUCCACGCUCUCUCCAUCGCUCCGUCUCCCCAUCGCAAGAGCUUCUUUCACCGCCGCCGCUUUCCCCAUCGCUCCGUCCACGAAGAAGCUCCGUCCACGAAGAAGCUCCAUCUUUUACGAGCUCCAUUUUCCUGCUUCUGUUUGAGCUGUGUUUCGGUGCCCUCUAUUUAGAUCUGCGCUUCUGAAUUUCAGAUCGCGUUCCGAUAAUCUCUAUUUCUCUUUUUUUUUUCUGUAUUCUUUCUUUGAGUUCUUCAUUCACUUGCCCUCACUACAUUCUUCUCGUCUCACGAUCUGAUCUCAUGGCUCCUAACACUGUUAUGGACUUUGUUUUCUUGUCAGAUUCAAUUUGAGACAAUAAUCACUUCCGUCAUUUCAAAGAUCGAACGCAGACAUGGAUGAAUUGAUGAGCAAAGAACAACUAUUUUAUGGUCUCUGUCAGGUUUUGCGUAAAUUUCCAAAAGAGACUGGUGAUUAAUAUGGGGACUUCAAUUGCAAAGGUCGGGAUAUUUGGAGGGAGCAGUCCAAAACUUUGGUGUUUGACGCAUAUUGAAACCAUAGGUAUAUGGGACUGGAAAGAUGGUAGAAAUGAAGUUAUCUUCUCAGAUGCUCAAACUCUAGCUUCUGAAAGUUGGAAUUUGGAUCAGAUAGACUAUUUUGUUGAUUGUCACUACUCAAGAGAAGCUGACAAAUUAUGGCUGAUUGGUGGCACCAAUGCUGGGAGUUUGGGUUAUUUUCCUGUAAAUUACAGGGGAGUGGCAGCAAUUGGAGCUGCAGAAGCGAUUCUUGAAGGUGGCCAUACUGAUAAGUAUCAUUGUGUUUCAUUCGUUGUGGUUAAAUUUGCAGUUGAAUCCUAGGAAUAAAUCUGCAGCAGCAGAAUGCUAUACCAGAACAGAGAUUUGCCUUGAAGGGGCUUAUGCUUUAAAUUAACUUCUUUAUUCACAAUCAUCGAGUACAGGAGUAUACUUUCUAGUUAUUAAGAAGCACCACCAGUUAUUAAGGAGAUUCUUGUUCUAGUUCAAGAUUCUGCAAAGAUUAAAGAAGCACCACCAGGUUCUUUCUCUUUUUCUCCUAUUAAAUUUGCAGCCCCAAAUCGAACUAGACCAGAUGUUGAGAAUUUGAUACUUGGAAAACAGAUGAAAAAUGAAAAAAUAUAAGGAGGCAGAGAAGCCUGACGCAGAGGAUCAAUUCAUGACCCCACUGUUUGAAUCAAUGGACACAAUAAUGAUGAAUGGUUUCUAUACAGAUGAAGUUCCAAUUUUAGAACCUAAUUAAGCAACCUUAUUGUAUAUUUUGACUUAAUUAGAGGACAAUAGUUAAUGUAUCAAUACACUUUGAUGUAUGGUUGUUACUUGUUAUUAUAAUUGAUGUAUCAACACUUUGUUUAUAUUUUGAAAUAUAUUGACUUGUUUA